This 1535-nucleotide ribosomal RNA is filed under the name Bacteroides ovatus. RNAcentral's name for it is "bacterial SSU rRNA". It matches the Rfam family "Bacterial small subunit ribosomal RNA". Lineage: Bacteria; Pseudomonadati; Bacteroidota; Bacteroidia; Bacteroidales; Bacteroidaceae. The record is from RNAcentral.
UUUACAAUGAAGAGUUUGAUCCUGGCUCAGGAUGAACGCUAGCUACAGGCUUAACACAUGCAAGUCGAGGGGCAGCAUUUUAGUUUGCUUGCAAACUAAAGAUGGCGACCGGCGCACGGGUGAGUAACACGUAUCCAACCUACCGAUAACUCUGGAAUAGCCUUUCGAAAGAAAGAUUAAUACCGGAUAGUAUACGAAUAUCGCAUGAUAUUUUUAUUAAAGAAUUUCGGUUAUCGAUGGGGAUGCGUUCCAUUAGUUUGUUGGCGGGGUAACGGCCCACCAAGACUACGAUGGAUAGGGGUUCUGAGAGGAAGGUCCCCCACAUUGGAACUGAGACACGGUCCAAACUCCUACGGGAGGCAGCAGUGAGGAAUAUUGGUCAAUGGGCGCAGGCCUGAACCAGCCAAGUAGCGUGAAGGAUGACUGCCCUAUGGGUUGUAAACUUCUUUUAUAUGGGAAUAAAGUUUUCCACGUGUGGAAUUUUGUAUGUACCAUAUGAAUAAGGAUCGGCUAACUCCGUGCCAGCAGCCGCGGUAAUACGGAGGAUCCGAGCGUUAUCCGGAUUUAUUGGGUUUAAAGGGAGCGUAGGUGGAUUGUUAAGUCAGUUGUGAAAGUUUGCGGCUCAACCGUAAAAUUGCAGUUGAAACUGGCAGUCUUGAGUACAGUAGAGGUGGGCGGAAUUCGUGGUGUAGCGGUGAAAUGCUUAGAUAUCACGAAGAACUCCGAUUGCGAAGGCAGCUCACUAGACUGUCACUGACACUGAUGCUCGAAAGUGUGGGUAUCAAACAGGAUUAGAUACCCUGGUAGUCCACACAGUAAACGAUGAAUACUCGCUGUUUGCGAUAUACAGUAAGCGGCCAAGCGAAAGCAUUAAGUAUUCCACCUGGGGAGUACGCCGGCAACGGUGAAACUCAAAGGAAUUGACGGGGGCCCGCACAAGCGGAGGAACAUGUGGUUUAAUUCGAUGAUACGCGAGGAACCUUACCCGGGCUUAAAUUGCAAAUGAAUAUGUAGGAAACUAUAUAGCCGCAAGGCAUUUGUGAAGGUGCUGCAUGGUUGUCGUCAGCUCGUGCCGUGAGGUGUCGGCUUAAGUGCCAUAACGAGCGCAACCCUUAUCUUUAGUUACUAACAGGUUAUGCUGAGGACUCUAGAGAGACUGCCGUCGUAAGAUGUGAGGAAGGUGGGGAUGACGUCAAAUCAGCACGGCCCUUACGUCCGGGGCUACACACGUGUUACAAUGGGGGGUACAGAAGGCAGCUACACGGCGACGUGAUGCUAAUCCCAAAAACCUCUCUCAGUUCGGAUCGAAGUCUGCAACCCGACUUCGUGAAGCUGGAUUCGCUAGUAAUCGCGCAUCAGCCAUGGCGCGGUGAAUACGUUCCCGGGCCUUGUACACACCGCCCGUCAAGCCAUGAAAGCCGGGGGUACCUGAAGUACGUAACCGCAAGGAGCGUCCUAGGGUAAAACUGGUAAUUGGGGCUAAGUCGUAACAAGGUAGCCGUACCGGAAGGUGCGGCUGGAACACCUCCUUUCUG